Molecule: ribosomal RNA, 736 nt
Filed under: Drosophila guanche
Lineage: Eukaryota; Metazoa; Arthropoda; Insecta; Diptera; Drosophilidae
Description: eukaryotic LSU rRNA
Rfam family: Eukaryotic large subunit ribosomal RNA
Source: RNAcentral
UUGUCCAGGAGCUCGAAGCAGCGGUCGGCCAGGCAAGGAGACAUAAGAGGUGUAGAAUAAGUGGGAGAUAUCAGAUUUCGGUUUGGUAUCGACAAUGAAAUACCACUACUCUUAUUGUUUCCUUACUCACUUGAUUAAAUUGAACGUAUAUCAUUUCCUAGCCAUUAUACGGAUAUAUUUAUUAUAUCUUAUGGUAUUGGGUUUUGAUGCAUGCUUCUUGAUCAAAGUAUCACGAGUUUGUUAUAUAAUCGCAAACAAAUUCUUUAAUGAGAAUAUGCAUUUAUGUGUUUUCAAUUUGAAAAUUUGGUAUAACUCCAAUUACUCAGGUAUGAUCCAAUUCAAGGAAAUUGCCAGGUAGGGAGUUUGACUGGGGUGGUACAUCUCUUAAAUAAUAACGGAGGUGUUCCAAGACCAGCCCAGUGCGGACAGAAACCACACAUAGAGCAAAGGGGCAAAUGCUGACUUGAUCUCGGUGUUCAGUAAACACAGGGACAGCAAAAGCUCGGCAUAUAGAUCCUUUUGGUUUAAAGAGACAGGUUAGGUUUACUCUACUAAUGACAAAACGUUGCUGCGACAGCAUUCCUGCAUAGUACGAGAGGAACCGCAGGUACGGACCAAUGGCACAAUACUUGUUCGAGCGAACAGUGGUAUGACGCUACGUCCGUUGGAUUAUGCCUGAACGCCUCUAAGGUCGUAUCCGUGCUGGACUGCAAUGAUAAAUAAGGGCUUCUAAACC